CCUACGGGAGGCAGCAGUGGGGAAUAUUGCACAAUGGGGGAAACCCUGAUGCAGCAACGCCGCGUGAAGGAAGACGGUUUUCGGAUUGUUAACUUCCGUUUAUAGUGAAGUAGAAUGACGGUCGCUAAGGAGCAAGCCACGGCUAACUACGUGCCAGCAGCCGCGGUAAUACGUAGGUGGCAAGCGUUAUCCGGAUUUACUGGGUGUAAAGGGAGCGUUGACGGUGCGCCAAGUCUGGAGUGAAAUGCCGCAGCUUAACUGCGGAACUGCCGUGGAAACUGGCGAACUAGAGGGCGGGAGGGGUAAGCGGAAUUCCGAGUGUAGCGGUGAAAUGCGUAGAUAUUAGGAGGAACACCGGUGGCGAAGGCGGCUGACUGGACCGUAACUGACGUUGAGGCUCGAAAGCGUGGGGAGCAAACAGGAUUAGAUACCCUAGUAGUC
This 441-nucleotide ribosomal RNA is filed under the name uncultured bacterium. RNAcentral describes it as "partial 16S ribosomal RNA". It matches the Rfam family "Bacterial small subunit ribosomal RNA", at positions 338 to 795 of the family's 1533-position model. The record is from RNAcentral.